RNAcentral lists this ribosomal RNA (453 nucleotides) under uncultured bacterium. RNAcentral describes it as "partial 16S ribosomal RNA". It matches the Rfam family "Bacterial small subunit ribosomal RNA", at positions 28 to 507 of the family's 1533-position model. The record is from RNAcentral.
GAUGAACGCUGACAGAAUGCUUAACACAUGCAAGUCAACUUGAACUUCGGUUUGGGUGGCGGACGGGUGAGUAACGCGUAAAGAACUUGCCUCACAGAUAGGGACAACAUUUGGAAACGAAUGCUAAUACCUGAUAUUAUGAUUAUAUGGCAUCGUAUAAUUAUGAAAGCUAUAUGCGCUGUGAGAGAGCUUUGCGUCCCAUUAGCUAGUUGGAGAGGUAACGGCUCACCAAGGCGAUGAUGGGUAGCCGGCCUGAGAGGGUGAUCGGCCACAAGGGGACGGAGACACGGCCCUUACUCCUACGGGAGGCAGCAGUGGGGAAUAUUGGCAAUGGACCAAGAGUCUGAUCCAGCAAUUCUGUGUGCACGAUGAAGUUUUUCGGAAUGUAAAGUGCUUUCAGUUGGGAAGAAAAAAAUGACGGUACCAACAGAAGAAGUGACGGCUAAAUACGUG